RNAcentral lists this transfer RNA (72 nucleotides) under Ovis aries (sheep). It matches the Rfam family "tRNA". Rfam says of the family: Transfer RNA (tRNA) molecules are approximately 80 nucleotides in length. The record is from Rfam by way of RNAcentral. Lineage: Eukaryota; Metazoa; Chordata; Mammalia; Artiodactyla; Bovidae.
UUCCUGGUAGUCCAGUGGUUAAGACUUCAGCUUCCAAUGCAGAGGGUGCAGGUUUGACCCCUGGUCAGGGAG